This 329-nucleotide unclassified non-coding RNA is filed under the name soil metagenome. RNAcentral describes it as "partial contains 5.8S ribosomal RNA, internal transcribed spacer 2, and large subunit ribosomal RNA". The stretch from base 1 to 120 matches the Rfam family "5.8S ribosomal RNA", at positions 35 to 154 of the family's 154-position model. The record is from RNAcentral.
GAUGAAGAACGUAGCGAAAUGCGAUAAGUAAUGUGAAUUGCAGAAUUCAGUGAAUCAUCGAAUCUUUGAACGCACAUUGCGCCCCCUGGUAUUCCGGGGGGCAUGCCUGUUCGAGCGUCAUUUCACCACUCAAGCCUCGCUUGGUAUUGGGCAACGCGGUCCGCCGCGUGCCUCAAAUCGACCGGCUGGGUCUUCUGUCCCCUAAGCGUUGUGGAAACUUUCGCUAAAGGGUGUUCGGGAGGCUACGCCGUAAAACAACCCCAUUUCUAAGGUUGACCUCGGAUCAGGUAGGGAUACCCGCUGAACUUAAGCAUAUCAAUAAGCGGAGA